This 373-nucleotide ribosomal RNA is filed under the name uncultured bacterium. RNAcentral's name for it is "bacterial SSU rRNA". It matches the Rfam family "Bacterial small subunit ribosomal RNA", at positions 523 to 898 of the family's 1533-position model. The record is from RNAcentral.
AUACGUAGGUGGCAAGCGUUAUCCGGAUUUAUUGGGUUUAAAGGGAGCGUAGGCCGUCUGUUAAGCGUGUUGUGAAAUGUAGAUGCUCAACAUCUGAAUUGCAGCGCGAACUGGCAGACUUGAGUGUGCGCAACGUAGGCGGAAUUCGUGGUGUAGCGGUGAAAUGCUUAGAUAUCACGAAGAACUCCAAUUGCGAAGGCAGCUUACGGGAGCACAACUGACGCUGAAGCUCGAAAGUGCGGGUAUCGAACAGGAUUAGAUACCCUGGUAGUCCGCACGGUAAACGAUGGAUGCCCGCUGUUGACCCACCUGGGCCAGCGGCCAAGCGAAAGCAUUAAGCAUCCCACCUGGGGAGUACGCCGGCAACGGUGAA